AAAGCGUGCGCAGGCGGUUGUGCAAGACAGAUGUGAAAUCCCCGGGCUCAACCUGGGAAUUGCAUUUGUGACUGCACGGCUAGAGUGUGUCAGAGGGGGGUAGAAUUCCACGUGUAGCAGUGAAAUGCGUAGAUAUGCGGAGGAACACCGAUGGCGAAGGCAAUCCCCUGGGCCUGUACUGACGCUCAUGCACGAAAGCGUGGGGAGCAAACAGGAUUAGAUACCCGUGU
RNAcentral lists this ribosomal RNA (230 nucleotides) under uncultured bacterium. Its description in RNAcentral is "partial 16S ribosomal RNA". It matches the Rfam family "Bacterial small subunit ribosomal RNA", at positions 562 to 791 of the family's 1533-position model. The record is from RNAcentral.